RNAcentral lists this ribosomal RNA (520 nucleotides) under uncultured bacterium. RNAcentral describes it as "bacterial SSU rRNA". It matches the Rfam family "Bacterial small subunit ribosomal RNA", at positions 984 to 1510 of the family's 1533-position model. The record is from RNAcentral.
ACAUCCCGGUGACCGCCCUAGAGAUAGGGUUUCCCUUCGGGGCACCGGUGACAGGUGGUGCAUGGUUGUCGUCAGCUCGUGUCGUGAGAUGUUGGGUUAAGUCCCGCAACGAGCGCAACCCUUACUGUUAGUUGCUACGCAAGAGCACUCUAGCAGGACCGCCGUUGACAAAACGGAGGAAGGUGGGGAUGAUGUCAAAUCAUCAUGCCCCUUAUGACCUGGGCCUCACACGUACUACAAUGGCCGUUAACAGAGGGAAGCAAGACCGCGAGGUGGAGCAAAACCCCAAAAACGGUCUCAGUUCGGAUCGUAGGCUGCAACCCGCCUGCGUGAAGUUGGAAUUGCUAGUAAUCGCGGAUCAGCAUGCCGCGGUGAAUACGUUCCCGGGCCUUGUACACACCGCCCGUCACACCAUGGGAGCCGGUAAUACCCGAAGUCAGUAGCCUAACCGCAAGGGGGGCGCUGCCGAAGGUAGGAUUGGCGACUGGGGUGAAGUCGUAACAAGGUAGCCGUAUCGGAA